RNAcentral lists this long non-coding RNA (23707 nucleotides) under Triticum aestivum (bread wheat). RNAcentral's name for it is "long non-coding RNA (TAES_LNC020078)". The record is from RNAcentral. Lineage: Eukaryota; Viridiplantae; Streptophyta; Magnoliopsida; Poales; Poaceae.
UGGAUGCGUGAAGAAAUGAUGAAAAUGCUUGAUGAAUCAACCACAAGAGGAGGAUGAAGCGCUUUUGGUUUAUCGCUGGGCUUUCUAAGUUGGUGCAAAUUUGCAUUGCCCUUAUUGUACAUUAUGUCUGCUCUACCUCAACCAUAUCAGGCAGUAAAUGUGACUGCAUCUGACUGAUACCCCUUGCCUAUUGUAGUCUAAGUAUGUGUGUAUCCUACCUCUAUGCUAUCAGUCAGGACAUGUCUGUAUAAGACUUGAGCUCAACUAUUAGUGUAUGCUAAGCCAUCUGCUAGCAACUGAACUAAAGAACCGUCAAUGUAAUAUCAUCAUGUGUGUACUUAAACAUGAUCGAUCAUGCACAUGUGACCUCUUAUGUAUUGAUCAUAUGUUAUCGAUUACUUCUGUUUAUGAUCGUUUGGUAAUGAUAGUUAAUGACGGUUAUACUAUGAUCUCAUUUGAUGUUCUGCAUUUAAUCACUUCCUACCUAGUUAUAGGAAAAUGGUAGUGUAAAAUGGGCUUUGGGUAUUUUCAAGGUAUAUUUUAGAGUGCAAUAAUUUAUUUGGUGGUUUCAUCCCUCUAUUUGAUGGGACUAUAGACUGUCAGCCUUUGUUUUUAUGGACUAGUAGCCAAAGUUUGACUUUCAAAAAUGUAGACACCGUAGUGCAUCUACAACCAGGCGCCCCAAACCCGUCUCAAACAGUUGGACGAGCGUACCGAUCACUGACCGAUCAUAAAAGAUCGACCUACCCGGGCACUUCAAACCGGCCUCAAACGCCCGGGCUGUCCGGCGCCCCUCAUAUGCACCCCAAAUGUUGGGCGGAUAUGGGGCAGCCUGGGUACGCCCGGGCGCGUCCGCCAUGUCGGAGCUGGCAGGCCCAGCCCACCACCGACCCCACGGCCAUCCCACAAAAAACCCCAAUCCGACUCCUCGCUCAGAACCCUAUCUCACUCACUCUCCUCUCCCCUCUCCGAUUCCGAUCCAAUCUAGCGCAAUUCAAGCUCCAGCAGUCACUCCGGCUCCGACGUCGACCUUGACGAGGAGUUUGCCCUCCGCAUUGCAUUGAAGGUGUCGCGGGCGUUUGAUGUGCCGAAUUUGCAAAGUCCGGCUGUAGAGGCUCUUACAUCCUGGAACUGAGUGAGUAUGGCAUAGCUCUUACAACAAGUGGUGAAAAUUGACAUUUGGUAAUCUGCUAACCAAAGACCAAUUUCAUAUCCUGGGUCUGACAUUGCCUACUAAUAGAACAUCAUUUAUAUUGGUUGAAGAAAAUCCAUGUUAGGUGGUUGACCUUGCACCUAGAAGUAGAGGCCUGAGGUUUUAACCCCUUCUCCAAAAAAUGUUGGUCGCAGCCAGAGACCACCUCUACAGACUAAAGUGAACGCCCCAUCUGGAUCCAAUACAUGGCUAUGUGGAUAUAGAUGCCGGCAAUGAAAAAUUAAAGCCACAUACACCGUUUGCUAGAAAAGGUGACCAAAAGGACAUGCGAGAAAUAAGGAUGACCAAGGAAGGCGGCCAGGAGGUCCCUUUUACCAUGGGAGCCAUCAAAUGUCUAUUAGUGGUAAGCUAUCACCCGACUAAUUGUUUUCAUUCACUAACUAGUAAAUUUUAAUUUUCUAAAUUUGCAUGAUUUGCAGGACCUGUUUAGUGCUGGGAGCGAGACGUCGGCGACGACUCUCAUCUGGGCCAUGUCGGAGUUGAUGAGGAACCCAGCCACCAUGGCAAAAGCACAAGACGAAGUACGUAACAACCUACAAGGGAAGCCAAGCGUAACCGAGGACGACCUGGCUGACCUCAAAUACAUGAGGCUGGUCAUCAAGGAGACGCUUAGGCUGCAUCCGUCGGUGCCCCUGCUGCUGCCACGUGAGCCCACCGAGGCGUGCAAGGUCCUCGGCUACGACGUGCCGACCGGCACCACCGUGUUUGUGAACACGUGGGCAAUCUGCCGAGACCCCAAGCACUGGAAUGCCCCGGAGGAGUUUAGGCUGGAGCGGUUCGAGUCCGGCAAAGUAGACUUCAAGGGAACCAACUUUGAAUACACACCGUUUGGGGCAGGCCGGAGGAUAUGUCCGGGGAUGCUGUUCGCACAGUCUAGCAUGGAGCUGGCCCUUGCCGCCCUCCUCUACCACUUUGACUGGGAGCUUCCUACCGGAGGGGAGUUGGACAUGGAGGAGGAGAUGGGCAUCGCCGUCGGUCGGAAGAAUGACCUAUACCUGCAUGCUGAAGUCUGUGUGCCUCUUAAUUAGCGCCUGCUUAAGAUGUCGCAUAGUGGAUGUGAUCGAUUAGGUUGGCUAGAUCGAACAUUCCAGCUGCAUAUUGCACACAAAUUCCUUGAACAUUUUGUUACCAGGGUGUCAUGGUGGUAAUUAUAGUAAUUAUUGUAUUGUACUGUUUUCAUGAUUUAUUAAAAAAUCAAUAAUAUUUUUGUAUUGAUUAUCAAAUAUGUGGUUUCCCAUCACCAAUCUGAUUUUCUUUGUUUGAUAUUAUGAGCUCAAGCUAAAUUUUCAAAGAUCUACUCCUUGUGUAAAUUCCUUUCUAGUACUUUCGGCCACGUCACCACCCUACCGAGGGUACCGUCAACCACUGCAUUGGAGAAUCUUCAAACGAACAACAAUGGAAAUACCAUCUUCAAGAACUAUGGGCACCAGCCAACAACUGACUAAGAAUGUGUACUUAGUGUCACCAAGACGUCUACGAAGGACUCUUCAACAUGGGAUCUUCUUCCAUGUUUGGCUAAGUCAACAAGCCGCAUGAGUGUACCGAAUGUCACAAGCAAAAUCAAGGAGGAUAAAAAUUGGCAGGCCUCUAGCUACUGUAAAAAACGAGUGGUUUGGGCUUUCGGAGAUCUAAUUUUCAAUUGCAAUAAUCCCAGUAGUUUGCAAACAGUUUUGAAAAGUCUUUUCCGUACCCAAUACAUAUGUACUCUCGACAUUCACAAAUGAAUAGUAGAAUGACCAUAGAUUAAAAUAUACCCUUAAAAAGUAGGAGAGAGAAAAAAACAAAAAUGACAUUUAUGUAAUAUCAAACUCUCUCUGUCUCUGUCUCUCAUGCAUUAUAGGAAAAUGGUAGUGUAAAAUGGGCUUUGGGUAUUUUCAAGGAUAUAUUUUAGAAUGCAAUAAUUUAUUUGGUGGUGUCGUCCCUCCAUUUGACGGGACUAUAGACUCUCAGCCUUUGUUUUUAUGGACUAGCUAGUAGCCAAAGUUUGACUUUCAAAAAUUUAGACACCGUAGUGCAUCUACAGCCAUGCGCCCCAAACACGUCUCAAACACCCAGACGGGCGGACCGAUCACUGACUGGUCAUAAAAAACCGACCCACCCGGGCGCAUCAAACGCCAGGGCUGUCCGGCGCCCCUCAUAUCCUGCCAAAUGUAGGGCGGAUAUUGGACGGCCCGAGUAUGCCCGGGCGCGUCCGCCAUGUCGGAGCUGGCAGGCCUGGCCACCACCAACCCCGCGGCUAUCCCACAAAAAACCCCAAUCCAACUCCUCGCUCGGAACCCUAGCUCACUCACUCUCCUCUCCCCUCUCCGAUUCCGAUUCAAUCCGGUGCAAUUCGAGCUCCAGCAAUCACUCUGGCUCCGACGUCAACCUUGACAAGGAGUUGGCCCUCCGCAUUGCCUUCAAGGUGUCACGGGCGUUUGAGGUGCCGAAUUUGCCAAUUCCGGCUGUAGAAGCUCUUACAUCCUGGAACGUGGUGAAGAUUGACAUUUGGCAAUCUACUAACCAAAGACCAUUUUCAUAUCCUGGGUCUGACAUUGUCUACUGAUAGAACAUCAUUUAUACUGGUUGAAGAAAACCCAUGUUAGGUGGUUGAGCUCGCACCCAGAAGCAGAGGCCUGAGGUUUUAACCCCUUCUCCAAAAAAUGUUGGUCACACCCAGAGACCACCUCUACAGACUAAAGUGAACUCCCCAUCUGGAUCCAAUACAUGGCUAUGUGGAUAUAGAUGUCGGCGGUGGAAAAUUAAAAUAUAGAUGUCGGCGAUGAAAAAUUAAAGCCACAUACACCGUUUUCUAGAAAACAUGACCAAAAGAACAUGCGAGAAAUAAGUGUUGGGUCAUCUCAUCCUCAUCACGACAACAAUAUUUGUCAAGUUUUUAAUACACAUACGUACAUUGCAAGGACGGUCGACGGAGCAUGUGGAUUGGGCAUGUAUGUAGUAUUAUUGAGUUCUAAACAGGAUAAUAUGGCCUUGUCCAGUUUUCACAAGCAGAUAACAGUCAGUGACAAAAAGAACAUGUGAGAAGUAAGUGUUGGAUCGAAAAAACAAAAGGCAUUCUGGGGUAUAAUCUGACUAUUGUACUCGGUUUACACAUGUAAGUUGAGCAUAGAACUCAUCUUACAAGACAUGUGUCAGCCCCUGUGAGCUCCUAUGACCAAAUGGCACUGCCAAUACAGGUUUAAACCGAGAGCAAGGCACACACCUUACAUAUAAGGCGUGAGCAGAUUAAUGUUCUCGGCUUACAUAUACAACUUGAACAGAAAGAAACACGAGCUCGGUUUACACAUGUAAGCCGAGCAUAGACCGCGUCUCACAAGACACGUGUAAGCUCCUUGGAACUCCUAGGACGAAAUGACAUUGCCAGUACAGAUUUAAGCCGAGAGCAAGGUACAUGGCUUACAUAUAAGCCAUGACUAGAUUAAUGUUCUCGGCUUACAUAUACGCCUUGCACAGAGAGAAAUACGGUCACAGCUUAUUCCUGGGCACUGGCACCAUGUGAUUACUCCAUGUAGGAAAAUUAAGCCGAGAGUGACACUCGGCUUACAGAGGGCCCACGUGGUGCCUUUAGGUUGCUAGGAGCCAGGGUUUUUCUUUUAGAGAGGGGUCAAUGCCUAGUUCAUAGUACUAAGACUACUCAUAGGGGGGUUUAACAUAUGUGUGGUGUCAUGCAACAUUUCAUAUAAGUUAUAUGUAUAACUCAUCUUAUCAGUAUGUGUGAUGUUACUUAUAGUGUGAGUAACAUACUAUAUUAUCACAUGCAUCUCUUUCCUCAUUAAUUAUUUACCAUAUCAUCUAUUUUGCCUGCAUAUAUAUGAUGUUACCACCUACCUCUGUUCUGGUUUAUUGGUUUUAACUAAUAAAGUAUUAAUGCAUGUCAUCAAAAAUUUAUAGCGUUGUAUUUGUAUUUAAACAUAGAUUACAACAAUAUUAUUUUUCGUGACAAGCAUUAACAUUUUGUUAGUUAUAAGUAAAAUCAAAAUUUAGUAUAAAAUACAAAGGGAUCAAUAAAUCAGGAUGGAGGUAGCAUGCUACUUCCACUAUGGGUAGUCUAAAAAGACCUAUUGUUCGGUUUUUUCACUACGUAGUGUGUGGAUGAAGAACAAAGCGCGAUCGUGCACCCAUCACGAUCGUCUAGGGAAUCUCCGCUCCCUAGUAGAAGUAGUACGUAUCCUUGGCGCAUCGGAGACGACGACGAGACGGGCGGUUCGUUCCGGACGACAACCAAACUUGCCCUGCAAAUAUCUGGUCGUCUCGCUCGCAUAGCGAUCCACGCCAGUUUACAGUAGAACAUCCUAGCGUACUCGAUAUAUUUAGUCUGUGCCGCAUGCGUAUAUACAGUGCAGUUUAUCCCCAGCCUUCUCUCGAGUGAGCUCAAGAAAAUAACAGGCGCCAUGACCACGGAGCAAGCAAUUUAUCUCGUCUUGGCUCUCCUCCUGCCUCUCCUGCUCCUCAAGUUCAUCAGGAAGCGCGGCCACGGCGCUGGGCAGCAGCUGCCGCCUGGCCCUUGGCGGCUACCGGUCAUCGGCAGCCUGCACCACAUCACCGGCAACCCACUAGUCCACCGUGCCUUCGCGGACAUCGCGCGCCGGCUGGGCGACGCGCCGCUAGUAUACCUCAAGCUCGGCGAGGUGCCGGUGGUGGUGGCCUCUUCUACCGAGGCCGCGCGCGAGGUCAUGAAGACGCAGGACGUCACGUUUGCGACGCGGCCGUGGAGCCCCACCACCAAGAUCAUCAUGUCCGAUGGGGUCGGGCUGGCGUUCGCGCCCUACGGCGCUCACUGGCGCCAGCUCCGCAAGAUCUGCAUCAUGGAGCUGCUCAGCGCCCGCCGGGUGCAGUCGUUCCGCAACGUCUGGGAGGAGGAGGUGACGCGCCUCGUCGCCGUCAUUUCAGCUAGUACCGGCGAGCCCAUCAACGUCAGCAAGCGGCUCGCCAUGCUCAUCGCAGACAUGACCUUGCGCGCCAUGAUCGGGGACAGGUUCAGCAAGCGGGAAGAAUUCCUGGAGGUGCUCCAACAGGGGGUCAAGAUCCUUUCGGGGUUUAACCUCGGCGACCUCUUCCCCUCAUCCUGGCUCGUCGGCUUCGUUAGCGGCUCCGCCCGACAGGCGUGGGAGAAUCACACCAAGGCCUUCGAGCUCAUCGACUGCGCCAUCAAGCAGCACGAGGAGGUGAAGGCCGCCGCCGCCGCGUCCAACGGCGGCGGGAAGGAAGGGGAGCAGGAGGACCUAUUGGACGUGCUCCUCAGGAUACAGAAGGAAGGCGGCCACGACGUCCCUUUCACCAUGGGAGCCAUCAAGUGUCUAUUAGUGGUAAGCUACCACCCGGCUAAUUGUUUUCAUUCACUAACUAGUAAAUUUUAAUUUUCUAAAUUUGCAUGAUUUGCAGGACCUGUUUAGUGCUGGGAGCGAGACGUCGGCGACGACUCUCAUCUGGGCCAUGUCAGAGUUGAUGAGGAACCCAACCACCAUGGCAAAAGCACAAGCCGAAGUACGUAACCACCUACAAGGAAAGCCAAGCGUAACUGAGGACGACCUGGCUGACCUCAAGUACAUGAGGCUGGUCAUCAAGGAGACGCUCAGGCUGCAUCCGUCGGUGCCCCUACUGCUGCCGCGCGAGCCCACCGAGGCGUGCAAGGUCCUCGGCUACGACAUGCCGACGGGCACCACCGUGUUUGUGAACACGUGGGCGAUCUGCCGAGACCCCAAGCACUGGGAUGCCCCAGAGGAGUUCAGGCCGGAGCGGUUCGAGUCGGGCGAAGUGGACUUCAAGGGAACCAACUUCGAGUACACACCGUUCGGGGCAGGCCGAAGGAUCUGUCCGGGGAUGCUGUUCGCGCAGUCUAGCAUGGAGCUGGCCCUUGCUGCCCUCCUCUACCACUUUGAUUGGGAGCUUCCUGCCGGAGGGGAGUUGGAUAUGGAGGAGGAGAUGGGCAUCGCCGUCGGCCCGAAGAACGACCUGUAUCUGUAUGCCAAAGUCGUCGUGCUGCUUAAUUAACGCCUCCUUCGUAUGUCGCAUAUCGCAAUUAGUACACAAAUUUCUUGUACAUUUUGUUACCAGUGUGUUAUGGUGGUAAGUACUGUACUGUUUUCAUGAUUUAUUAAAAAAUCAAUAAUAAUUUUUUUUGAAACGGAGGCAAAAGAUUUGCCUCAUCGAUUAAUUAAGAAGAAGAGAGUUGACUAGUUAAUUAACGGAAAACCGGGCGAAAACCGAUACAUAUAGACCACAUACGGACUACUCGCUGAGAAAGAAACUGCAUAACCACACGGUUAACCCGACAAACAUUCAUAGGACGAAACAAUCAUGAUCCUUCACACUUCUACAUCGCAAAGAAACCCCCAACGAAACCAAGGUUAAAGACAACAGACACCACCAAAUCCAUGGAGACGAGCCAAUCGAAGAUGGUGGUCGAAGAGAUUGAGUAUCAUCCAUUAAACAGCCGCUGACGCCUUACCAGUGACGCCACUCUUCUUGCCUAUGCUCCUGAGAGCCUUCUUCACCUGCUUGAUUUUGCCCGUAGAAGCCUCCUCCGCUACGAGGCAAGCAAUCGCCUUGCCAGAUCCAGGACUAACUGCCUCCAAACGGGUGAGCAAGCCGCCGAGCUUUUUCACGAAGACCAACUCGUCAAUAUGUGCCAACAUACCAUCACGGUCAAAGAUGGGCGGCCGGAUGGACUUUACCGCCUCAGAAUUAGGUGCCAAAGCACCUACACCCACAGACGGCACCUGGCCAACAGCCACAGGUGAGAGAGCAAUAGCAACAUCCAACCCUCCAUGGUCCACAAAGGCGAGUGGCUGACUGUGCUCCAACGACGGUGGUGAGGUCGAGGUCGGCAUCGUCAAGGCCCCUCCAAGCGACUCCAUCUCCAUAGGAAGCACCAUCGAAAUAGGCGAAGUGGGCUCCCCACAAAGCUUUUGCAGCUCAGGCAUAAUCUGAAGCACCGGAGCCACGACCUCGAUAACAGCUUCACUUCCAGAAGUAAUCGGCACGAUAGGCAACGGCGAUGGGCAGGAUGCACUGCGAGGGGAGAGAUCUCCAUACAUGCCAGCUUCCUCAUCGGCCGAAUUAACAUGGAUCUUGGGCAUCAGGGACAUAACAGGCACCAACGAUGCUACCCCGAUGUUUGCUCCUGCCAACGAUGCUACCCCGACAGAUGUACCGCAACAGUUGGUCCUCNNNNNNNNNNNNNNNNNNNNNNNNNNNNNNNNNNNNNNNNNNNNNNNNNNNNNNNNNNNNNNNNNNNNNNNNNNNNNNNNNNNNNNNNNNNNNNNNNNNNNNNNNNNNNNNNNNNNNNNNNNNNNNNNNNNNNNNNNNNNNNNNNNNNNNNNNNNNNNNNNNNNNNNNNNNNNNNNNNNNNNNNNNNNNNNNNNNNNNNNNNNNNNNNNNNNNNNNNNNNNNNNNNNNNNNNNNNNNNNNNNNNNNNNNNNNNNNNNNNNNNNNNNNNNNNNNNNNNNNNNNNNNNNNNNNNNNNNNNNNNNNNNNNNNNNNNNNNNNNNNNNNNNNNNNNNNNNNNNNNNNNNNNNNNNNNNNNNNNNNNNNNNNNNNNNNNNNNNNNNNNNNNNNNNNNNNNNNNNNNNNNNNNNNNNNNNNNNNNNNNNNNNNNNNNNNNNNNNCAAGCAGUCUUGCAGCUCAGUGCGGAGCAGCACAACCUGCUCCAUGAGGACCAACUGUUGCGGUACAUCUGUCGGGGUAGCAUCGUUGGCAGGAGCAAACAUCGGGGUAGCAUCGUUGGCAGGAGCAGACAUUGGUGGAUUCAGUGGAGUAACAUGACUUAGCGGCGUAGUCUGGUCCCUGGGUUGUUUUGUGCGGCAAAAGCGAGCAAUGUGGCCAAAGCGAAGGCAGUUCCUGGACCGAACUGGGUCCCUACAAGAGCGGGCAUGAUGACCUCUGCAGAGGGACCGAAAGCAUCGGUCCCUCAGCCACGCCGGAGGAGUCGGUUGUGCAUUAGAAGCGGGACGCCGGAAGUUUGUUGAAGAUGGUGAAUGACGGCGCCCCUUGACGAGGUGCCAGUCCCCAAAUGAAUCUUCAUGAGGUGCCGGCGCACAACACAUGAGAGCAGCUUGAGACUUCUCCUUGCGGAAGCAUCCAAGCCAAUCUCCCCAAGCCGAAUGCACGGGAGAAGUGACUGGGAUGGUGCAAGACAUGCUUGCAGAGUCGCCUGAUGCCAGCGGCAACGACAACGAUGUUCGGGGAGCAGUGUACUCAGUCAGCAUAGCCGUCGACAGGGGUGCAGGAGUCGAUGCCGGAGGCGGCGACAACUGGUCGGCGGAGUUGCUGGCAGGGGGAGCGGUGGUGGUGGCCUGCAGGAUCGGAGAGGUCACUGUCGGCCCAGCAGGACCACGAUUCUCCCGAUCUUGAACGGGCAGAGUGCACUGGAGAAGAGCAUGAGCCGCCGGAGUUGGACAACCACAUUGCAGGGCCGACUGAAGGUGCAGAUCCUGAACGGACGCGCCGGCCAUGGUAGCAUGGACGACGGGCAGGCGCGCUGUAGCGCUCGUCUUCACGGUCCUUGGCAGACAACAACCAUGGGCCAGAUGACCACCUACGGUCGGAUCGGCCUUGCGGAAGGCGAGUGCAGCCGCGGCCAGCUCGACGGCGGCGGUAGCCAGGGACGACCGAGCGAGAGCCAGCGGUGUCGUUGGAGCGGGAGCCGGUGGUGUCGUCUUAGCAGCUAAGGUCUUGGACACGGGGAGCAUCACGGACACGGCAGGGCAAGCCAGCGUUGGCGGCGGCGCUGGAUCCCGAUCCAGAUCUAACUGAGUAGGGAACGGGGAUGGCGGCGGGAUGAUGCGCUGCACGGAGCCCGCGGGGAGCGCGGCAGGAGGUGGCGGCAGCAUGCCGGCCGGCCGGACGCAGGGCUGCGGUUUGGUGGCCGACGGGGCCGGAAUGGCCGGGGAAGGUAGAAGAGGGACCGCCUGCCCCCCUUCCCCUCACCGGGAUGAGCUGCCAGGCCGGCGGGCGAAGCGCCCAGGCCAGAUGGCGCCGGCAGCCCCAACCCCUGCGGCAGAUCAAGGGAAAUCCCACCCUCAGCGCGAACCGACGCCGUAGGAGAGGUCGACGUAUCCACCACAGGAGAGGAACGACCAGAGGCCUCCUGCCCCGGUCUCCCUCUCACCGCCGACCCGACGACAGUGGGCAGUGGAGUUACCUCCCCUACGGUCCUUGACCGACGAAACGCCCUCGAUGCGGCUAUAUCUCCCACGUGUCGAAGCACGACUUAGAGGCAUAACCACAUUGAAAGCAAUGUCGCAAGUGAGGUAAUCUUCACACAACCCAUGUAAUACAUAAGGGAAAGAGAUACAUAGCUGGCUUACAAUUGCCACUUCACACAAGUACAUGAAUAAAGCAUUACAUCAUCCAAAUACAAUCAAGGUUCGACUAUGGAACCAAAAUAAAAGAUGAACCCCAAAGGCGACAAGGUCCCCGAUCGACCCCAACUGGGCUCCACUACUGAUCAACUAGAACGAAACAACACAAAGGACAAGAUCUUCAUCGAGCUCCUCCUGAGCUUGGUUGCGUCAUCUGCACGGACUCAACGGCACCUGCAAAUUGGUUUUGGAAGUAUCUGUGAGCCACGGGGACUCAGCAAUCUCGCACCCUCGCGAUCAAGACUAUUUAAGCUUAUGGGUAAGGUAAAGGUAUGAGGUGGAGCUGCAGCAAGCGACUAGCAUAUAUGGUGGCUAACAUACACAAAUGAGAGCGAGAAGAGAAGGCAAAGCACGAUCGAUAAAAGUAUGAUCAAGAAGUAAUCCUAAAACAACCUACGUCAAGCAUAACUCCAACACCGUGUUCACUUCCCGGACUCCGCCGGAAAGAGACCAUCACGGUAACACACGCGGUUGAUAUAUUUUAAUUAAGGUCAACUUCAGGUUUUCUACAACCGGACAUUAACAAAUUCCCAUCUGCCCAUAACCGCGGGAAUGGCUUUCGAAAAUUCAAAACCCUGUAGGGGAGUCCCAACUUAGCCCAUGACAAGCUCUCACGGUCAACGAAGGAUAUUCCUUCUAGCGGGAAGACCCGAUCAGACUCGGAAUCCCGGUUACAAGACAUUUCGACAAGGUAAAACUAAACCAGCAACACCGCCCGAAUGUGUCGACAAAUCCUGAUAGGAGCUGCACAUAUCUCUUUCUUAGGGCACACUCAGAUUGUCCUAGGUACGGGUAGGCCAGCCCAGAGUUGCCCCUGGUGGCUACCGGCAGCUGACAGGUUGGACCAACACUCAGAGGAGCACUGGCCCAGGGGGGUUAAAAUAAUGAUGACCCUUGAGUCUGCAGAACCCAAGGGAAAGAAAAUGGGUAGGUGGCGAAUGGUGAAACCAAUGUUGGGCAUUGCUCGAGGAGUUUUACUCAAGGCGAACUGUCAAGGGGUUCCCAUAAUUACCCAACCGCGUAAGGAACGCAAAAUCCGGGAACAUAACACUGAUAUGACGGAAACUAGGGCGGCAAGAGUGGAACAAAACACCAAGCUUAAGGCCGAGCCUUCCACCCUUUACCAAAUAUAUAGAUGCAUUAAUUAGAUAAGAGGUAUUGUGAUAUCCCAACAAGUAAACAUGUUCCAACAAGGAACAACAUCUCCAUGUUCCAACAAGGAACAAACUUCAAACUUCACCUGCAACUAACAACGCUAUAAGAGGGGCUGAGCAAAGCGGUAACAUAGCCAAACAACGGUUUGCUAGGACAAGGUGGGUUAGAGGCUUGGCUCAACAAUAUGGGAGGCAUGAUAAGCAAGUGGUAGGUAUCGCAGCAUAGGCAUAGCAAAAGAGCGAGCAACUAGCAAGCAAAGAUAGAAGUGAUUUCGAGGGUAUGGUCAUCUUGCCUGAAAUCCUGCAAGGAAGAAGAACGAGUCCAUGAAGAAGACAAACGAACGAAGUCGAACGGAUCCUCACGAAUGCGACGUUAACGGAACCAACCCGAAGAAGCAACAUCGGAAAGAAGCACACAACAUAGUAAACAACCAACACAUCAACAUGGCACGAUGCGCAAACAAGUAUGAUACAUGUCUGGUUUAAUGAAGCAUGGCAUGGCAAAGUGCACAAACAAUCCUACAAAUUAAGUGGAGCUCAAUAUGCAACGAGUUGCAUAUCGACGGAACACCACAUGCCUUGUUUAGUUCUCUCUCGUUUAUGUACUCAACAAAAUUAAAUGUUGUUAGCAUGGCAAGAGGGUGAAGCACAAUAAAACUAUCUAAUCUAGGCAAGGUUAAAUGAGGCCGGAACAACAAAACAACAAUUCCGGAAACUCCUCAUGUGCACAUUUUAGGUUUGGUACUGUUCUGCCCUAAACAUAAUUUUUGAGUCAUUAGGCAUGCAAAACAAGUACACCAUGUUAAACUAGGCAUUUUUCUACCCCAUUUACAUAUAAAGAUUAUUAAAUUCCGAGUUACAGUUAUUUAGUUAUGAAUUAAAGCAUUUUAGCAUGACAUAGGAGCAAAUUUAAACAAAUAUCAUUUUAAGCAUGUCAAACAUGGAUAAAAGUGGCAUAAUAUGAAACUACACAAAAUUCUAGGCAUUUUAUAUAUAUAUAAGUUGUUUUAAUCCGAUGCACGGUUGUGGAGAUAUUAAAUGCAUGAAGUUUAGGGGCUUUUCUGUAAAACUAUAAUCUCUGGAAAAAUGAUUAAAUUCGUCCAGGAAAAAAACACGUCCACUGGCUGAAACUACCUAGCCCAACAAACACAUGAUAGGGGCUGGGCGCUGCUCACAUGGGCCAAGGCCCGUUCGGUGGAAAAGAGGCCUAACAAGGGGCUCCUGGGCCUUGGAUGGAUCUGGCCCACGACGGGGCCUAAGAGCGGAGCGAGUAGUUCCUGCUUGUCGUCCUCGUGCCUCCGCACGAGCAGGGAGGAGGACGCAACAGUGGCGGCGGACGACGGCAGCUCGCCAACGGGGAGGCGCGGAGGAGGACCUGGAACGGGCGAAGAAGGCCGGGAUCCGCCAGAUCUGGUGAUGUGGGGGUCGCUGGAGCUUCCAGGGCGGCGACGGGACAAUCUUGCGGGAGAGAGAGAGAGAGAGGAAGCUCAUGAGGGUGAGGGAGCAGAGAGGAAUCGAGGGCGGAACGGCGGCACUGAUGACCUGGGGCGGCAGCAGAUGGCAGGGAAGAAGGACGAGGAGAGCGCGGGGUCGCCUGAUCCGAGGUGGUCACCGGCAGCGACUCCGGCGAGCCGGCGGGAAGGACCAGAUGGCGUGGUCGGGGUCGAGGGGCUCCUCCCCUCGAUCCAAUCAAGAGCGAGGGAGCAGAGAGUGCGGGCCAGCAACCGUACAGGCCUGGGCGGUGCUGGUUGGCUCGGUGGGUGGAUCGGGAAGGCAGGGGGCUUCGGCUUUGCAGUGAUUGGGCGGGCAUGGAAAUGGAGACGGUGGUUGGAUUGGGUGGAGAUGGAUCCCGAGGUGGGAGAUGCUGGCGGCGGGGAUUGGACAGGGAGGAUCCCUAGAAAAUAGGGUUUUGGUCUAGGGUUAGACUAGCUAUAUAUAGUAGCUGGGUUAGACUAAGGGGUAUAUCGUCCCUCCGAUCGAAAUCGAACGAUCGCGAAUAAAAUAGUUAGGGAGCCCAAAUAAGAAAACGGAGACAUUUUGUAGAUGUUUGGGGAUGAUCCGGACACAACGGUGGCGACAGUCUGAGUCGGGUUCGGGACAGCUUUCGGACGCGCGCGCGAGGAUUGGCCGCGGGCAAACGAGAGAGGUUAGGUAGGGUCUGACGGUGAGUAGUGGACUGUGCAGAAGGUCUCAGGCUGAAAGAAGAGAAGAGAGGCCCUGCGACUGUUCCGGAGACCGAAAACGUCCGACGUUAGACCGGCUACUAUUGCCGCUAUAGUUUAACGGUUGGGCUAUCAAACGAGCUCCGAACGUGAUGAAAUUUGACAGGCAGUCUACCUACACUAAAAUAAGACCACACGCCAACUCUCAUCCCAUUUCGAGAACAUUUUCCGGCCACUUAUAAAAUACUAUUUCAGACAUGCCGCAGGCGUGUGCAAGUGUGUCUGGGCUCAGAACGGACAACGGAUGGCACUGGGGGAACCCGGACGGAUGCAGGUUUUGAAAACAUGAAGAUGCAAUGCACAUGAUGACAUGGCAAGAUGCAACACACAAGCAAAUGACAUGGCAACAACAGCGAAUAACUGGAAGACACCUGGCACAUCGGUCUUGGGGCGUCACAACACUCCACCACUACGAGAGGAUCUCGUCCCGAGAUCUAGAAUGGCACCGGAGGGACAACGGAAAAGGAAGAUAAGCGGUAAAAACUAAGUUGCUUCUUUGACAAACGAGUGAAACCACGAACCUUUAGAGGUUGAACAAAUUGGAAGAAAGAAUGCAACGAAGAAGAACAAAGUUGAAAGCACUCAGUAAAGAAAGAGGAAUAAGAAAGAACCGAUUCGGGUAGCAUUCUGGUUGAAAAGAGAUGAAAGACUUGAUAAAAUGAAAAAGCUUGAGCAAACGGACACAACACUCCGGUUAAAUGGAUAAACCAAGAAAAGAACACGAUCCUGACAAAACGAAAAGAUGGGUUGACGAGAGCAACAUCACAAAGCCUCCGGAACAAAAUGAAGAAUGGAAUGGAAUGAACGAAGUAGAAACCAAGAUCUUGGCAGCGCACGCUUACAACCAAUGCUAGAACGGAGUUGUUAGAUUAUCAACAACGAAAAGAUAAGCUUGAUAUGGUCUUAUGGAAUACAUCUCAAAUUAUGAGUUGACAAUCCUGCCACUCACGGGAAAAGAAUUGGAUUGGUAUGAACAAGGAGACGAGAAAGUAUUUCACCAGGAGGAUAAAGAAGAACUUGGGUCCUUUAUAAGCACCAUAGAUAGCAACAAACCUUAGGGAAGGCUUUAGGUGAAAUAUAACCCAAGAUAACUCCAAAGAAGAGAUUGAUGGAUUUAAAAUGCCUUAUUCUUAAUAACAUGUGAAUCAUGACACAUGAACUCAAAUUAUCAAGAAUGGCAUAAUACCACCUCCAAAGAUACAGUAGAAAGAAAUUGCACUCCGGAUUGCAAGAUGAAGAAUGCUUGAGCUCCCUAGAAAUGAAUCUCGAUGAAAACUUUGAGAAGGAAUUAAUUCCUUGAUGAAACACCAUGUCGAGCCUCCAUGAAGAACUCCGAUAACAAAAGAAAGAGAAAUUGAAAACACAAGGUGAAUCCUUGCAAUGAUUUAGAUGGAUCUCCGUGAUAAUUAGAGCUUGGAACUCUAGGAAAGAAAAGAUGGAAACAAGUGAAACCGAGAAUUUGGUGAACCUCUGGAAUAAGGAAUUAAUCUCUUGGAUGAAACAAGAAUAAGAAUUACAUUAUGCUUAUCCUUCACCAAUUUAAAUUGAUGACAAGAAACGGAUCGCAUAUGGCUUAUUCUCGUAGAAAGGAUUAAGAUAGAUAUAGCGCAAACCUGAGAAGGUCUUCAAUGAUCCACCGGUAGAAUUUGAAAAGCACGAAUGCAUAGAUAUGAUACACGAAGGAAGAAAACUCUCGAACAAACCACCGUAAGAAUUGAAAAGAACAAAGUAAAGGGAUGAAUCACCUGGCAAGAAUUGUGAAAUGAAGGAAGAUACUUGAGACAAUCUAGAUACAUGAGAACGAAGAGAUCAUGCACUGAUUAGAGGAUAUUUGAUCGAUGCACCGAUAAAAUUAGGAGGGUGAGAGCUGAAAUCUAGAAUUAAUAAAUCUUAGAUGAUGGGCUCCGGAUAAACAAACUGAGAAGACUCUUGAAUUGCUCCGGAAGGGUGUAAAGAAUUCUCACAACCGAAAACAAUUAAGAGAGAAUGGCAUAAAGCUAGCACCGUGAAUCUUGGAGAGAAUGGAGCAAGAUAUGGAGGAAAAAUUCUUCUUCGGUCUUCAAAAUCUGAGAAUGACGACGAGAGACCACAAAAUUGUUGAGAUACUCUGGAAUGGAAAAUGGAAAGGUUGAGUCAAUGAUGAAAAGAAUUGGAAAGAUCUUGGAGAAAGGCAUUUGACUGAUGAUAACUCAUUCUUACGUCAAACUUUGAAAUGAAUUUGAGAUUAACUCUGGGAGAAUAAGAAGAGUCAGGUAAGAUCCUGGGAAAAGACCUGUGGGUUGGGGCCCACUCAAAAGAAACACCGUUGAAAUGAUUAAAGGAGAGGUUGCAUUGGUUGAAUUAAAUGGCUUGAAUGAGAUAACAUCCUCAAAAUAACUUGAACGGAUUAAGAGUGGAAACACGAAUCUUCUGAGAUAUCUUUAGCACUUCGGAACAAAAGAAUAGCAAGCGGGGAAGAUUAAGAGGUGCACCGACAUAAAUAAGCAUUGGGCAAAAAGAAAAGGAGUAUGAUCAAUACCAAAUCUUGAAUUAAAUCCACCGGAGAAGAAAAUGAGUGAAGAGUGACGAACUUGAAGCUUCGUUAGAAUCUUCAUGAGAAUCACUGGAUACGAACAUUGAAAGAAAAGAAUGAAGAGACUUCACAAGAAUAAAAGGAUACUUGAUUAAGAAAUCCGAGUCCUUGAGGAAAAAGGGUGGGUGGGCGUGAAAACAAAGGCAACUUGGAGACGGAUGAAACAAACACCGUUGAGAAGAACUGAUACUAGAUCUUGCGAAUGUUGAAAUGAUCGGAUCCACUUGAAGAGAAAACACGCCGGUUGAAAAAGGAUUGCCAUGGCAAUCUCGAUUAUCAUGAAGGAUUAGUGUUCACAUCGGAGUAUGAUACCACCGCUUAGGGAAGGUAUGGAAUCAACAUUUGACUUCGAAGCAACUCGAAUACCACAACUCAAAACAAAACAAAGGAUUGGCUUGCAAAAUAAGCCGGAACAAACAUAUGAUAGAGAUUUCGUCCGAAGUUUUCGUGGUGGGGCCUACACGGGCUAGAUCGUACAACACCAUCAUGUACAAGGCAGUGCACAUGACAUACGAAGCAUCCCCGAGUCGGCAUAGCCAAGGACUCUUUAAGACACAAUGAGACCACUGUAAAACCAACCGUGAAUAGGCGGACCACUAGACGUCGAACCCCAAUUUCAUAUCAUACAUCUGUCGGAAAGAUAUCCUAAGAGCUACUUGAAUUCCCACUUAUAAACUCCCGAAACUUUCCGGUUAUGCAAUCAGGUGUUGGGGAUACAGGGGAAGCAUAAUAUCUCACCCAAAACUAGCAAAUCCUACAUCCAGCUGUAUCCAUCCUUCAACACAUAACCAAGAAACCUUCGGAAAUCAUCUACCUCAACCUUCAAAAAGCAUCCGUUAUACGAGUUAUGGCAAUACUCCCGAACUCCCGCCCCAGUACUGGGUGGCGUCGAGGUUAUCUCACCAACAACUGCAUAAAAGAGAUUUUCGAUGUCGGCGAACUAAACUCAGGUAUUCCAGAACUGCAACGAUAAAAUUAUGACGAAAACACCUCGGAGCUCAACUCCCCGCGACACUGCCACAAAACCCCUGACAGGAGGCACCAAGACAAUGUUCUCGUCACAAAACCAUCAGAACGAUUCCAAGAUACCCGCGUGAUCCUAAAUUUUUUUAGUGAAAUUUGAGAAGAGAAGAGUCAAAACUCUAUGUCAGGAUGCCUUACCAGAGCGAUGAGGAGACUGGGGAGUAAAAAGAAUUCCUAAACUCUCCGAUAUAUAAAUCCUAAAUGACUCAAAACAUUUUUCUAGACACAACUCGGCCGCUAAAAACGAUCAAGCAAUGGGGCUCCUAUGGUCGGGGAAGGCUCUGAUUACCAACUUGAAACACCCUCGAUGCGGCUAUAUCUCCCACGUGUCGAAGCACGACUUAGAGGCAUAACCGCAUUGAAAGCAAUGUCGCAAGUGAGGUAAUCUUCACACAACCCAUGUAAUACAUAAGGGAAAGAGAUACAUAGCUGGCUUACAAUCGCCACUUCACACAAGUACAUGAAUAAAGCAUUACAUCAUCCAAAUACAAUCAAGGUCCGACUACGGAACCAAAAUAAAAGAAGAACCCCAAAGGCGACAAGGUCCCCGAUCGACCCCAACUGGGCUCCACUACUGAUCAACUAGAACGAAACAAAACAAAGGACAAGAUCUUAAUCGAGCUCCUCCCGAGCUUGGUUGCGUCAUCUGCACGGACUCAACGGCACCUGCAAACUGGUUUUGGAAGUAUCUGUGAGCCACGGGGACUCAGCAAUCUCGCACCCUCGCGAUCAAGACUAUUUAAGCUUAUGGGUAAGGUAAAGGUAUGAGGUGGAGCUGCAGCAAGCGACUAGCAUAUAUGGUGGCUAACAUACACAAAUGAGAGCGAGAAGAGAAUGCAAAGCAUGGUCGAUAAAAGUAUGAUCAAGAAGUGAUCCUAAAACAACCUACGUCAAGCAUAACUCCAACACUGUGUUCACUUCCCAGACUCCGCCGGAAAGAGACCAUCACGGUAACACACGCGGUUGAUAUAUUUUAAUUAAGGUCAACUUCAGGUUUUCUACAACCGGACAUUAACAAAUUCCCAUCUGCCCAUAACCACGGGCAUGGCUUUCGAAAAUUCAAAACCCUGUAGGGGAGUCCCAACUUAGCCCAUGACAAGCUCUCACGGUCAACGAAGGAUAUUCCCUCUAGCGGGAAGACCCGAUCAGACUCGGAAUCCCGGUUACAAGACAUUUCGACAAGGUAAAACUAAACCAGCAACACCGCUCGAAUGUGUCGACAAAUCCUGAUAGGAGCUGCACAUAUCUCUUUCUCAGGGCACACUCAGAUUGUCCUAGGUACGGGUAGGCCAGCCCAGAGUUGCCCCUGAUGGCCACCGGCAGCUGACAGGUUGGACCAACACUCAGAGGAGCACUGGCCCAGGGGGGUUAAAAUAAUGAUGACCCUUGAGUCUACAGAACCCAAGGGAAUGAAAAUGGGUAGGUGGCGAAUGGUAAAACCAAUGUUGGGCAUUGCUCAAGGAGUUUUACUCAAGGCGAACUUUCAAGGGGUUCCCAUAAUUACCCAACCGCGUAAGGAACGCAAAAUCCGGGAACAUAACACCGAUAUGACGGAAACUAGGGCGGCAAGAGUGGAACAAAACACCAAGCUUAAGGCCGAGCCUUCCACCCUUUACCAAAUAUAUAGAUGCAUUAAUUAGAUAAGAGGUAUUGUGAUAUCCCAAUAGGUAAACAUGUUCCAACAAGGAACAACAUCUCCAUGUUCCAACAAGGAACAAACUUCAAACUUCACCUGCAACUAACAACGCUAUAAGAGGGGCUGAGCAAAGCGGUAACAUAGCCAAACAACGGUUUGCUAGGACAAGGUGGGUUAGAGGCUUGGCUCAACAAUAUGGGAGGCAUGAUAAGCAAGUGGUAGGUAUCGCAGCAUAGGCAUAGCAAAAGAGCGAGCAACUAGCAAGCAAAGAUAGAAGUGAUUUCGAGGGUAUGGUCAUCUUGCCUGAAAUCCCGCAAGGAAGAAGAACGAGUCCAUGAAGAAGACAAACGAACGAAGUCGAACGGAUCCUCACGAAUGCGACGUUAACGGAACCAACCCGAAGAAGCAACAUCGGAAAGAAGCACACAACAUAGUAAACAACCAACACAUCAACAUGGCACGAUGCGCAAACAAGUAUGAUGCAUGUCUGGUUUAAUGAAGCAUGGCAUGGCAAAGUGCACAAACAAUCCUACAAAUUAAGUGGAGCUCAAUAUGCAACGAGUUGCAUAUCGACGGAACACCACAUGCCUUGUUUAGUUCUCUCUCGUUUAUGUACUCAACAAAAUUAAAUGUUGUUAGCAUGGCAAGAGGGUGAAGCACAAUAAAACUAUCUAAUCUAGGCAAGGUUAAAUGAGGCCGGAACUACAAAACAACAAUUCCGGAAACUCCUCAUGUGCACAUUUUAGGUUUGGUACUGUUCUGCCCUAAACAUAAUUUUUGAGUUGUUAGGCAUGAAAAACAAGUACACCAUCUUAAACUAGGCAUUUUCUACCCCAUUUACAUAUAAAGAUUAUUAAAUUCCGAGUUACGGUUAUUUAGUUAUGAAUUAAAACAUUUUAGCAUGACAUAGUAUAUAUAUAUAUAUAUAUAUAUAUAUAUAUAUAUAUAUAUAAGUUGUUUUAAUCCGAUGCACGGUUGUGGAGAUAUUAAAUGCAUGAAGUUUAGGGGCUUUUCUGUAAAACUAUAAUCUCUGGAAAAAAGAUUAAAUUCGUCCAGGAAAAAACACACGUCCACUGGCUGAAACUACCUAGCCCAACAAACACAGGAUAGGGGCUGGGCGCUGCUCACAUGGGCCAAGGCCCGUUCGGUGGAAAAGAGGCCUGGCAAGGGGCUCCUGGGCCUUGGAUGGAUCUGGCCCACGACGGGGCCUACGAGCGGAGCGAGCAGUUCCUUCUCGUCGUCCUCGUGCCUCCGCACGAGCAGGGAGGAGGACGCAACAGUGGCGGCGGACGACGGCGGCUCGCCAACGGGGAGGCACGGAGGAGGACUUGGAACGGGCGAAGAAGGCCGGGAUCCGCCAGAUCUGGUGAUGUGGGGGUCGCUGGAGCUUCCAGGGCGGCGACGGGACAAUCUUGCGGGAGAGAGAGAGAGAGGAAGCUCAUGAGGGUGAGGGAGCAGAGAGGAAUCGAGGGCGGAACGGCGGCGCUGAUGACCUGGGGCGGCAGCAGAUGGCAGGGAGGAAGGACGAGGAGAGCGCAGGGUCGCCUGAUCCGAGGUGGUCGCCGGCAGCGACUCCGGCGAGCCGGCGGGAAGGACCGCAUGGCGUGGUCGGGGUCGAGGGGCUCCUCCCCUCGAUCCAAUUGAGAGCGAGGGAGCAGAGAGUGCGGGCCAGCGACCGUACAGGCCUGGGCGGUGCUGGUUGGCUCGGUGGGUGGAUCGGGAAGGCAGGGGGCUUCGGCUUUGCAGUGAUUGGGCGGGCACGGAAAUGGAGACGUGGUUGGAUUGGGUGGAGAUGGAUCCCGAGGUGGGAUAUGCUGGUGGCGGGGAUUGGACAGGGAGGAUCCCUAGAAAAUAGGGUUUUGGUCUAGGGAUAUACUAGCUAUAUAUAGUAGGUGGGUUAGACUGAGGGGUAUAUCGUCCCUCCGACCGCAAUCGAACGAUCACGAAUAAAAUAGUUAGGGAGCCCAAAUAAGAAAACGGAGACGUUUUGUAGAUGUUUGGGGAUGAUCCGGACACAACGGUGGCGACAGUCCGAGUCGGGUCCGGGAUAGCUUUCAGACGCGCGCGCGAGGAUUGGCCGCGGGCGGACGAGAGAGGUUAGGUAGGGUCUGACGGUGAGUAGUGGACUGUGCAGAAGGUCUCAGGCUGAGGGAAGAGAAGAGAGGCCCUGCGACUGUUUCCGGAGACCGAAAACAUCCGACGUUAGACCGGCUACUAUUGCCGCUAUAGUUUAAUGGUUGGGCUAUCAAACGAGCUCCGAAUGCGAUGAAAUUUGACAGGCGGUCUACCUACACUAAAAUAAGACCACACGCCAACUCUCAUCCCAUUCCGAGAACAUUUUCCGGCCACUUAUAAAAUACUAUUUUGGACAUGCCGCGGGCGUGUGGAAGUGUGUCUGGGCUCAGAACGGAUAACGGAUGGCAUUGGGGGAACCCAGACAGAUGCAGGUUUUGAAAACAUGAAGAUGCAAUGCACAUGAUGACAUGGCAAGAUGCAACACGUAAGCAAAUGACAUGGCAACAACAGCGAAUAACUGGAAGACACCUGGCACAUCGGUCUCGGGGCGUCACAACCGAGGUGAAGCAACAGGAGAAGAAGGGGAAGAGGGGGCCGCCUGCCAAUAGUCCCCCUCUCACGGCAGAGCCGUCAAACCCUGCAAAGUCUAAGGGUGGUAGCGUGCCCUCUAGCACAUCCUCAGACUCCACAUGGUCGCUCCAUAGUCUCGGAGGAGCGGAUGCAGGCUCAAACGAUCCGAAUCUCAGAGUGUUCAUAGGCGCUAAAAAUGAAGGGGCCGCCCCAGACCCAGGCGCCUACGAGGUGGAUCUCGGCCCGUUGGCCAACUGAUGCUCAUCCUCAGCCCCUCGCGAUUCCGUGUUACCCGAACCAUCAUCCUUAUUCUGCAUAUCCACAUCCAUCCCUGCCAUAGCCUCCGCAAAAGGAUCCGAGUCCUCAAACUCAAUCUCAAGGUUGAAGACCUCGCCCUUGUAAGUCCACUUGACCACGAGAGGUUACAAACUCAAUAUCAAGGAUACUCACCGGUAAGCGUGCCACUCCAUUAGCUCUGGUGAAAGCCAUAUCAACCUUCUCGGUUUUCCCGACCAGCAUUCCCAAGCUAGCAGCAACUCGGGCAUCAUGAAGUGGCUUGGAAGGCGCCCCAGAGAAACGCAGCCAAACAUGAGUGAGGGGCUUGCCCUGCGGCUCAACUCGUUUCCACUCAUGGAACUCGAGGAUGCACUCAGUACCAGGGACUCUGCAUAACCCAAAACUGAGCAUGCGCUCCAAGUCCUCCGAUGUCGGAAGGUCAACCUUGUAUGUAUUCUCCUCGAGGUGACUAAGUUCCCACACAAAGUCACCUGGUAUUAACUCAGAAAGCCUGUGAAUAAUCUGUGCCUCAGACACCACACACUUAGUUACCUUUACAAUCCCUGUCGUUGAACUCUGUGGUUCGUCAGGUAUCUCCCUCGCACUGGGAGACUCAAAAAACAUCAGUUCAGAACAAUAGACUCCAUAAAUGGUGAUACUCGGCAUCUGAUCUCGCAGAAUAGGGCAUUCCCCCGAGUCAUGCACCGGCUUAAGACAAGUAUCACAAAGCUCAGUCUCACACUCAACAAUAAAGUGUCCUCUCUCACCACAACGGUAGCACAACAUCUUUUCCUUUUUACGAGCCCACUUGGAGGCUCUCUCCUCCUCCGCCUUGUGAACAGCCCCGACAGCCUCCAUCUCUACGGAUUCUGUCAGUGGCACGUCCACUGACGCGAGAGCAGUUACCACCUCCAUAGCCUGCCCUGAUAGCUCCAUCUCCUGACCGGUAGCUUCGGCCACCGGAUCCACCGCGACCGGAGGUGGGGGCUGGCGGUAACGGUUCCUGCCACCGCGACCACCGCAACCCCCACGGUGCCCUCGGUAGCCACCUCGCUGUCUGUAGUCGGGGCCAGAUGCCCCCUUGACAAAACCUCCUGGCGGACCGUAGAUAGGCCGUUCGUCUGACCCAUCUCCCUGCCAUGCGUAGCCACGCCCGCCACCCGUAGACGAUGAGCCACGAUGUUGUCCAACCCCGUAAGCAUUAAAACCAUCAUCACCCCACUUCCCUCGGGGUGGGCCAUUACCACCAGGAUUAGACGGCACCUGAGCCGCGGUCACACCUCCCUCUCCCGCAACCGGAGCCAGUGCUAUGGAGAAUCUCCCCGCCACAAUCAACACCUAGAAGCACACCUGUGGUACCUCUAUUUUUUUCAUACCAGCAAGAGCAUACAGUUCUAUGGAGUCAAGUCAUCUUGACACGUCUCAUUCCUAAAUGUACAUGCACAUCAUGCGGUCGCUCCAGCAUGCAACCCAUAUCACUUCCUAUUUUACCACACCUCAAACUGAACCCUUAACGCCUGAUGCUUGAGCAAAGGCAGGUGGUUGCUUAAGUGCUAAGAGCUGAGUUUAAACAUUUGAGAUACAAACAACUGCAACAAAAAAAAAAUGGAAGAACGUCCCAGACCUCUAGCUUCUGCCAUCCCAACCAUCUAUGCCUCCCCUU